CUCCUAGGAGAAAUACAGGGUUAGGUUCCUGAGAGCCUCUGGUCACAUUGUGAUCAAGCAAUCAAUAUAUGCACAUAAUCUUAUUUCAUUUACAACAACAAAAUGAGCAAUAAUGAAGCAAUAUAUGUUUGGUAUGACACCCUGGGGACUGAUAAAGAAGAGGAAGAGGGAAGAACAAUGGGAUCCUUCAGUGGGCCCCGACCUCCCUAUUCCCUGAGACACAAUAUUGAAGUGAGGCCAAUUAAUAAGCCUACAAAGGCCUGUAAGUGUUCAAGAGAAAGGAAGAGUCACAUGUCUCUUACUUUAAAUCAAAAGCUACAAAUGAUUAAGGAAGGCAUGCCAAAUACCAACAGGCUGAAACAUAAGGCCUCUUGGACCAGCUGGCCAAGAUGUGAAUAUAAAGGAAACGUUCUUGAAGGAAAUUAAAAGUGCUACCCCAGUGAACACACACAAAUGGCAGACUGUAAACUCCAGGAGACAGGAAGUCACUUCUUAGUAAUGCUGUAUCUCUUCCACUGGCACGGAGCUUGACACAAAAUAAAUUCUCC
Molecule: long non-coding RNA, 548 nt
Organism: Canis lupus familiaris (dog)
Lineage: Eukaryota; Metazoa; Chordata; Mammalia; Carnivora; Canidae
Exons: 4
Source: RefSeq, a predicted model, not a curated record